This 311-nucleotide long non-coding RNA is filed under the name Homo sapiens (human). RNAcentral's name for it is "HSALNT0409305". The record is from RNAcentral. Lineage: Eukaryota; Metazoa; Chordata; Mammalia; Primates; Hominidae.
GGGCCUAGGGUUUCCUGCAUCUGGCUCAAUGACUUCCACACUAAGCAUUUCCCAGUUCAUGGAGAACGACACUCAUUGGAAUCCACUACGAGGCUUUUGGGUCCUCUGACAGGAAUCAUCGAAGAUUGCCUGAUGCCAGCACAAGGCAGCUCAUUGUCUCAGGAAUCUACAGUGGCUCUUGAUGGUACUGCUGGACACCCUUUUCAGGAUUGCUAUCACCACAGACGGCCUUUGAGACACUGACUCAACAUCAUCUGCAACUGUGAGAAGCCAAUCAGAGGUGUGAGAACACAGCUCCACCUUGGUCUUGC